CCUACGGGUGGCAGCAGUAGGGAAUCUUGCUCAAUGGACGAAAGCCUGAAGGAGCAACGCCGCGUGGGUGAAGAAGGUCUUCGGAUCGUAAAACCCUGUUGUUAGAGAAGAAAGUGCGUGAGAGUAACUGUUCACGUAUCGACGGUAUCUAACCAGAAAGCCACAGCUCACUACGUGCCAGCAGCCGCGGGAAUACGUAGGAGGCAAGCGCUAUCCGGAUUGAUUGGGCGGAAAGGGAACGCAGGCGGUCUUUUAAGUCUGAUGUGAAAGCUUUCGGCUUAACCGGAGUAGUGCAUUGGAGACUGGGAGACUUGAGUGCAGAAGAGGAGAGUGGAACUCGAUGUGUAGCGGUGAAAUGCGUAGAUAUAUGGAAGAACACCAGUGGCGAAAGCGGCUUUCUGGUCUGUAACUGACGCUGAGGUUCGAAAGCGUGGGUAGCAAACAGGAUUAGAUACCCGAGUAGUC
Molecule: ribosomal RNA, 465 nt
Filed under: uncultured bacterium
Lineage: Bacteria
Description: partial 16S ribosomal RNA
Rfam family: Bacterial small subunit ribosomal RNA
Source: RNAcentral